AAAAAAAAAAAAAAACUGAUCAACCUGUAUUUCUUGGAUGCUCAAAAGUUACUAACUGAAGCAGAAUAUUGUAUUGAGGGACAUACCAUGAAGAAAGGGGUUUAUCAAGCCUCAAUUAGUUGUUUAGUGUAAGUUUACUGUGAAGGUGACUUCUUGGACUUGAUUUUACCUGAACACUAAACCUUUAUUUUGUUGAUACUUCAAUUUUUUAAUGUUUGUAGAAUAGGCAGAUGAAUAAUCAUCAACUCAAAAUCCAGUUAACUUGGCAUAUCUCUGUUUUCCCCUCGCUGGGAAUCUCAUGGCAAUUAAGCUCAGAGGUACGCCAAUUUUCAUCGAGUUCCUUGAGAUUUUGUCACAAUUAGAUGCAUAUGUAAGGCUUGAGAAGGAUACCUUUUCAUGUCAUGUGAAGUUGUUAGAACCUAUUUCAGUAACUCUUGCAUUUUCCAUUCAGCUCUUUAGCAUCUUACUUCUGAUAGACAGCACUCUACACAGUUUUGAGGGUUGAUUUCUCACUUGAUCAGUAAUUAGUUAUUAUCUCAGAAAGUCUACUUUCUUCUUAAUCCCGAUAUUCUACUACAAAGAAAGUGACUUUCUGAGAUAACAAUCUUUAAUUGAGUGACCAUCUGAGAAAUCAACUCCAGUUUUGAUGUUAAACUAAGCUACCUCUUCUUAAACUGUAGAGGAAUUACACUAUGAGUUUUGGUUGAUUCAUUACUCCUUGGUUGGAAAAUAUGUCUUAUGUCUACGUUUUCUGUUUGAUUAUUCUGAGAAGUAGAUAUGCACAAAUUGUUGUGGCAGUGUGCUAAUCAAUUUCUAAACAACUUAAUUAUAACUUCAGUUUCUAAAGAACUUAUGUCUCGCCAGAGAUAAGUUUAGUUGUUGAAUGACAAAUAUUAAAAAUCAGUUCAUUUUAAGAGCAAUUGUGCAAUUUCAAUGAAAUAUACAUCAAUUAUUCCAUAAAUAGCGUUCACCGACCACUUUUCAGUCUAUUUUUGAAAAAUUAUCAUUGAGGUAUAUACAUCAAAGGUCAAUUGGGCUUCAACUACUUUCAUAAAUAGUGUCCAUUGGCCAUUUUUGAAUCAUAUCUUCAAAAAUUGUUUAUUUGUAUAUUUUACACCUCGAUAUGUGAAAAAGGAAGAAGGAAAACUUGGAUCACACUACCUCUAAAAAAACGUUUUGACUUAUACAAACGCAAUAAUUACUCACAGCCCCAAUAUAUAUUUUUAGUAUUAAUAAUACUGUCGUCAUCUUCCUAGAAAAUUCAAAAUAGCUAAAAUUGAAAUGUCAACUCAUGUCAUGCCACGUGUUCAAUCAUAUUAUAAGGGAAGAAGGAUAGAAAGUCUGCAAAAGAAUAUGCAAGUCAAUACUCGAUUCAACCCGUAGCGAGCAGUAAAACAUACACCAAUUUUGAUGUUCUUACUCGGUAUUUGAUAUUCAUUUUGAGGUUCAUUAAUUUAGAGUUGUGUCGAAAUGUCUCACUUUGGAGCUAGGUAAAAUGCUUCUUAUCAAAGGUGACUCUCUACUCAGAGCUCAAUCUGAAAUCUUUAGUUAGAAAUGAAGAAAUACUUAUCAUGAUUGUAAAACAUACAUACAAAUGCACGCGUGCUACAUAUAUUAUUAUCAGUCGUAAGCAAUUACUUUAAAAGAUUCAUGAGCCUGCAACUUGUACUACAAUAAUAAUAUGGCCAAUCUGCUUUAUAAUUAGUUGAAAAGUUCAAACAUCAUCAGGAUAACUAACUGUAAUAAGUUUGUAACAUAUAUUAGGAGACAUUAAAUAAGUACAUCUAGAUUUCCUUAAAGCUUGACUUGAAUAAGGUUGUGUUUGGUAUGACAAUUUUUUAUUUUUUUUAAUAAUUGUGGUAUGUUGAGCGCUAUUUGUGUGCACUUUGAUUAGUUUCAGGAGAUACGUGUCACCUUUCACCAUUAACAGGUAUCAGGUAACAUGGAAGUUGAUGAUUAAUUUUCUUUAAAAUGUUUGCUAAGCUCAUAUUUUAGCGUGUGGUUGAUUAUCAAAUUAAAAAUCAUUUUUUUAUAUAGAAAUUAGUUAUGCAAGAUUUAGUUAUUCCAUCUUUAUCAUGCAUAAUAUAAUAAACAUAAAUUUUUCUUUUAACUUAUACAUGUACUCUCUAAUCUCUAUGUUUCAAUUUGUUUGUAUUAUUUUGAUUUGAUAUGGAGUUUAAAAAAGUAAAGAAGAAUUUUGAAUCUUAUACGUGGAUUAUGGUCUUACAUUAAAGAUGUAUCAAAUGUACCAAAAUAUCUUUAAUCUUAUAGUUGAAAUUAAAUAAUUGCUAAAAAAAAUAGAAGCAUUAUUUUUAAAUGGAUUAAAAAGGAAAGUAGGAUAAAUAAAUUGAAUCAAAGGUAUUAGAUAUGCGGACUUCUAAACCGAACACCAUAUUAAUUUUAUACUAAGUAAAAGAGUACUGCCAAAUGUUAUAAGUAUUACUUAUGUAAAAUGUAAUACUCCUAACUAGCUACUAAAAAAGGACAUGCAUAUUUUACUUCCUAACUAGCUACUAAACGAUUACACUAAUAAUAAUCAAUAUUUAAAAAAAUAAUCAUAAAAACACUCUCCAAUUUUCAAUAGAAUAUCUAGUACCACGGGGACUGAAAUAUUUUUAAGUUCCCUGUUGUGAGAUGCGAACCUAGAAUUAAAAUUUUGAUUUUAUGUGGUCCUGGUUUGUCAUUUCCAUAAUUUAUUUAAUUAAUCCUUGUGUUCAAAGCAUAUUGUUUGUACUUACUCUCAAUUUAUUUUUUACAUACCACGUUUCACUUUAUAAGAUUCAAUUUAACUAAUUUUCUUCAUCGUGCCAAACACACUCUAAUUACGAUAAAACUUGUGAAGAGUUUAAUCAAAAUUUCGAACAACACAUCAAGAGAUUUCAAGUCUACAUUAUUAUGCUCAUAUUUCUAUGUGUGUUGUGUGAAAUACAGAUAACUUGCUAUGUAUAUGAUAUGAUACUAUAAUACAUGUAUAAUUUAUAAACUAUAAUAUAUAGUAAUAAAUGAACAGAAAGGAAACGUAUAGUUGAAUGAAUGAAAUUAAAUGAACUUCCUUAAGGUCUUCUCCUAACAUGUGCGAAGCCCGAGCUAUGGCGACUGCAUCUCCAACUUUUAUUCAUAUUAUUAUAUUAUCCCCUCCUAUACUUUUUCGCUGUCAUGCUUACUAAAAAUAGUUGAUCCAAAAUAAUUGUGAUUUUAGAAAAUUACAAUAGAUUUUAAUUUUUAGCUAGUUUUCUUAUUUAUUUUCACUGAAUAAAUAUGGGGAGUAAUUAAUCUAUUGAAAAAGAAGAAAUAACUUAGUCCAAUUACCUUUUUAGUUAAUAUUUUUUUAAAAAAAACAUACAAAAGAAAAACAUGACAAGUAAAAUAAAGAGAUAAGUAUUGAAAACACCCCUGAACUUGCGCAAAUUAUUAGUUUCAUACCCAAACUAUUGACGGCCUUAAAAACAUCCCUCUACUUGACUAACUAAACUUAGAUACACCCUCGAUCUGUCACAUGACAUAACAAAUGGUCUCAAACUCUUAUAGCAGCAUUAAAUCUUAAUAAAAAGCCAAGAGAAAAGUUGAAAACACCUCUAAACUUGGCGAGAGUUUAGGAGUGUGUUAAUUUCUUGCAUAUUGCAAGAUUGAGUGUUUAUAAAUUCAGUUAGUCAAGUAAAAAAGAUAUUUUUAAGCUAUCAAUAGUUUAAAGAUAAAACUAAUAAUUUAUGUCGAAUUUAUGGAUAUUUUCAAUACUUCUCUCUAAAAUAAAUCGAAAGAAAUACAUGAAAAACCCUAAACCUAAACCUUGACCCGUGGAUCCUACUUUUAUUAAAAAUAUUAAACCCUGUUAAUAAUUCAUAAUUAAAUAUGGAGUUUGCGAAUCCCGAGGAGGUUUUGUAGCUGUUUUUCGCUACAGUUUGCUUUAGAAACAAUCAAACGUCCCGUUAUUUAUUUCGUCGGGAUCAUUUACGUAUUUAUUUAUUUGUGCAAAAGUGCAUGGCAAGUCUCCAAAAUUGAAAUUGAACCCGGAAUUCAUGCACCAUACAAGUGAUAAAGUGGAUGCAAAUAUUGAGAUUUUUUUAUUAUUUUUUUUUAAUAUUGAGAUUAUUCAACGCUUAAAUCGAAGGUCGGUUUUUCCUUUAUUUUUUUGGAUCAAUUUUGUCCGUCAGAUUUUUGCAUGGUUUGUAAUAGUAUAGAAAUAACUUAAUAUUAAAAUUACUUUUUUACCAUCAAAAAAUAAUAAUUUGUAGUCAUACAAAUAGUUAAGAUUUGUAUUAGAUUACAAAUUUCGUUCUUAUAUGUGCCUAAUCAAACAAUAUCAUAUAAUUUGGAAACAAAAAUUAAAGUAAUACACUUCCUCUGUCCAACAAUACUUGUCAACUAUUGACUUUGCACACUUCUUAAGAAACUAUAAAUAGAAGUUUAAUUUUACUAUAUCAACCCUUUGAAUAUUAUAAAUACAAUGUCUUGAAAAAUGUAAUAGAGAAAUGACUAUAAUUAUGAACUAAGUGUAAAAUUAUCCAUUUAUUUUAUAAAGUAGACAAUUAUUGUUGGACAUCCCAAAAUAUUAUAAUAGACAUUGGACAACUAUUGUUGGAAAGAGUGAGUAACUGAUCAUUUGUCUAAUUUUAGGUGAACAAAGUUGAUAUUCAGUGAAAUGGUCGCUCAAACUAGUAGUCUAUUAAAUGGAAUAGCUAGCUAAUUACGUGCAAUUAGUUGGAAAUUAACCGGUAUUCAUGCAUGCAUAUAUAUAUAUAUAUAUAUAUAAUCCUAUGUAUAUUUAGGCUUUAGCUAGCUAGUAUAUCAGUUGAAUAUUUGCUACUAUGUCCCUAAUUACUUGUCCACUUUUGAAUUGACACACCAAUUAAGAAAAUAAUAAUUGACAUAGUAAGUUUACCAUUUUACCUGUAUUAAUUAUGAAGUGGAAUGAAUUAAAAACUUAAAAAUUUUCAAAAAAGUUUUACCUUUUUCAAAGUAAUUAAUUAAGGAUAUAAUAGGUAAAAAAAUUGUCUUUUCUUGAUUUGUCAAAAUGAACAAGUAAUUAGGAACAACUAAAAAAGGAAAUAUUGACAAGUAAUUAAGGACAGAGGGAGUAUAUUGCUUCUUAUGCUCCCAAUAACAGUAGCUAGAGCUAGCUGGCAAAUUCCAUGCAAAUGAUUGAAUUCUUUUUCUGAAGGGAUAAGAGACCUACGUACCUAGUCUACUUUAAUGUAUAGAGAUUGUAUUGUUGCGUAAAUUCACAUUUGCAACUUGAUAUAAGUGAAAUAAGGACUAUCGCCUUAUAUGCAUGCGCGUGCGCAUAGACAAAUUUUGGGGGUUAUCCUAGCGCGGAUUUACUCUAUAAUGGGCGAGUGCAGUAGUGAAUGCAUUAUUUUGUAUUUGAAACCUUAAGGGAGUUCAAGGGAUAUAUUCAAAAUCCAUAUAUACUUUAUAUGUACCGUGUAAUUUUUUAUUUAGGGGGUUCGAGUGAACACAUGACAACCCCUAGAUCUGCCCCAAGUUGGGUGGGAUUAAACGAAUUCAAUAGCUUUCGACUCAAACGUUGUAUAUCAUGUGUGUGUUUUCUUUCCAAAAAACCACACUUAUUAAUUAAUAGGUACAAACAUUAAGUACUUUUUUUGUAAGCAAAUUAUUUUUAGUCAACCAACCAAACUACUAAUUAAGAAUCUCUCACAAACAAUAAGUUAACUCUAAACACAAAGAAUUCAAUGAAUUGCGGGACUAGAAAAUUCAGAGCCCAUAAAAUUUAAAAAAUAUUUCAAUCCCCACAUAUGUUGUCCUAUAUUCUACAUUCACUAACUUGCAAUUUACUUAAGCUUUAAGAGUUUGCGCGGGCGGCGUUAACGGCCGUCAACUUUCCCUCCUCACAUGAAUUUCACAAUACCUGAUCGUUGACAUUAUAUACUACAGUUGGAGAAAAAAAGCAUAUUAUAUAUAUAUAUAUAAGGCCAUUUCAAUCAAAAUUAAGAAAGCUCCAGCAACUGAAAUACACAAACUUAAGAGAUCGUGGGAAUUAAUAAUCAAGAAGAAGAUCAAUCGAGUUUAACUAUAUGGCAUCAUCAUCAAAUGGUGGUGUUCCACCGGGGUUUCGAUUUCAUCCAACAGAGGAAGAGCUUCUUCAUUAUUACUUGAAGAAGAAGCUUUCAUUUCAUAAGUUUGAUAUGGAGGUUAUCAGAGAGAUUGACUUGAAUAAGAUUGAGCCAUGGGAAUUACAAGGUACGCACAUAUUAUUAUUAGCUACGGAUUUAGUCGUUGUUGAAUAACUUGUAGCUAAUAGAAUUUUUCAAAUAAUUCAUCGCUAAUCUAUUUAUAUUGAUGUUAAUUAUUAGCUACAUAAUUUAUCCGUCCCUAAAGUAAAUUUUCAAUUAGUUAUUGUUCAAAAUUGAUUUUAAAAAUUGAUUAGUUUAACACAAACUAAUUCUCACCAAACAAAUUAUUUAUCAUUUGAUAGUUUAUAUUCUUGGAUAAUUAAGUAAAACGAGAUUAAAAUUAUAAAAUAUAUAAUCUCUCUUAUUUAAAAGCUUUAAGUACUUAUAAACAAAUUAUAUUUUUAUUUAUUUAAUUAAGGGAAAAAGGACAAAUAUAUCCUCUGAACUAGCGUAAAUGGUAUGCAGAUACCCUCCGUCAUACUUUUGGAACAUUGGUGCCCUUGCUGUAAAAAAACUAGAACAUAUAUACCCUUUAUACUAACAGACAUACGUGUGUUAUAAUCUUAUCCACCGUCCACCGACCCGACAUAAUAUCGAAUCGACGGAUAAGAUAGCACCAUGUGUCCUUAUUUAGUCUUCCAUUGGAGUGAAGGGCAUAUAUGCUCUAGUUUUUGGACGGCAUGGACAACAAUGUCCCAAAAGUAUGACAGAUGGUAUCUGUAUACCAUUUACGAUAGUUCAUGGGUAUUCCUUUUUUCUGUUUAAUUAAUUAUAUUUUCAACAUGACUAGUGUGAAUCGAUAUGAGACAUGAAUUUAAGUAGUAACUAGAGAAAUGAUUUGGUUAUUUAUGUGUUAAUAUUUGAUGAUAAUUCAGAGAGGUGCAAUAUUGGAUCGACGCCGCAGAAUGAGUGGUACUUUUUCAGCCAUAAGGAUAGGAAGUACCCAACAGGUUCAAGGACAAACAGGGCAACAAAUGCGGGGUUUUGGAAGGCUACAGGGAGGGACAAGUGCAUAAGGAACAGCUUCAAGAAAAUUGGUAUGAGGAAAACCCUUGUGUUUUAUCGAGGAAGAGCUCCACAUGGACAAAAAACUGAUUGGAUUAUGCAUGAGUACAGACUUGAAGAUGCUGACCAAAAUCAAACUGUAAGUUAACAUGAAAUUAACUACGAAAUUUAUCGAUUAAUUUGCAGUUAAAUAGCUUCGAGAUAAAUAGAUUUUCUUAUAAUUUGGAACUAUAUGAAAUUUUGUCACUAUAUGUAUCUCCCUUUUCUACUUUCCCCUAAAAUGGCCUCUCAUCAAGGGGGAACAAAAAGAAAGGAGUUUGUUUUUUUUUUAAAAUAAUUUAAAAAGAAAAAGGAAUUAAAUUAAUUACCAAAAUAAACAUAUAUAUGAUCUGCCUAGCUCAAAAAAUUUACCAAGAUAUUCCAUUGAUAGAGCCACUCGAACUAAGACAUGUACACCUUAAUUCUUAAUAAAUUAUUUUAAUUAGAUAUUUUUUAUUCAAAUUUUGGAAUUUUCUUUUGUAUGUUUUUAUUUGUCUUUUAGGUAUUUAAGUUAGCAACCUAAGUCAUUUUCUUUAACUAUAUCCAUUCGCUUCAACAAAGCCGUAAAAUACAAAAGUUUUUUCAAAUUUGAACCGAAAGUGUCUAAUUUAAAUACUUUAUUUAAAUGUUUAAUUAAAACAUGAUUCAGUUCAAGUGUCUAAAAAAAAUAUCCUAAUAAAUUUAUGGUGCUGAUUAUAUAUUAACCCUAAAGAAAAACGAGUUGGUUGAAGUCUUUGCAUGUCAAUUGCAUAUAUGCAAGCAUGUGCGAGAAGUCAAAGUAAAUAAAUGAUCCUUAUAAUAAUGAUUAAUUAAUUAGUGAAUAUUUUCUCGAUGAUUUGACUUUCUUAUCACAAAAUCUUUGACUGUGAGGAGUUCCCAGCUUACAUGCAUGCUUCUAGGAAUUUGUUAUCCAUAAUAAAUUAUCUCAGUUCAGCUGAAUUCUUGAAAUAGUACUGCAAGAGGCUAAUAAAUGAAACAUACAUGACAUAUUUUUAAUAUUUAUAUCUAUUCUAAUUAUAGAAGUGUGUAAUCAUAAUGUUAUUUAAAAAUUUAAAUUAUCACAAAGAUCAUAUUUUUAAUUGCUUAAUUUCAUUAUGUCAUAACGAAAAUAUCAUUCUAAGAAAGUAUAUAUACAUGUCUCUUCAUAUGCAACCUGAUCUUUUAAAUUUUCAUAAGCCAAAUUAUUAAAAAAAUAAAGAAUUAGCGACGAACAAAAUUUUAUAUCUAAAAAAAAUCCAUAUUAAUCUCAUUUAGCUAGGGAUUAGUGACAAAGUAUAAGAAAACUCAAUUACCUAUGAGCUUUUUAGCCACAAUUAGCUAGAAAUUACUGAUAAAUUUCGUAACUAAUUUCAUAUUUUCUUAUAGUAAUCGUUAUAUAUAUCGUUGAUUAUGUUUUUUACAAUAUUAUGUACUUUCCAAAUGUAUGUAGGAGGAUGGCUGGGUGAUAUGUAGGGUAUUCAAGAAGAAAAACCUCUUCAAAAUAACUGGAAAUGAGGCAGCCUCAUCAAGCCAUCACCACCACCAACCAACCAACAACUUCACACACAAAGACAAUCAUGAUCAUAGCCCAUAUCUACUACACCAAUUACCACAACACCAUGACUUAAACUAUUCCCAAAUCCCAGUUGCUACUACUCUGGCUCCACAUGAGUACUAUUCACACAACAACAACAACAUUGAAGUAGCACAAAACUUGAUCAAGUCAUCAUCACUGGGAUAUCAUCAUCAUCAUCAUCAUCCUCAUGAAUUCUCAUCAUCAGGCGCUGAUCAAUCAGCGCCUUGUGAGUCUGGCUUAGAAGUAGCAAGCAGUAAUGAUCAUCAAUGGGGAAUUAAUAUUGAUUCAUCUAAAGUUGCAUUAGGGAUGGGAUUUGAAUCUAAUCAAAUCAAUCAUCAACUUCCUAUGCGUGGAGAAAUGGACUUUUGGAGUUAUGGAAAAUAAUACACAUGACACAACUAUUAGUAAUUCUUUGUAAUAAUAUAUAUAUUGACAUUGAAAAGACAUAUAUAUAUAUAUAUAUCAAUUUAUUAAUUAUACUUAGCUUGUUAUUGUACCUGUACUAUAUAUUAUAUUGGAUGUAUUCGGGGGGAAAAUGUAUGAUUGAUUGUAUGUCCUCCUUAUUUUAUGUUAGUGAUUUCUAUAUUGGAAUGUAAAUUUUCUUAAAAAUCAUCAAUUUUAUGAUUUGAGAAAUCAAACUAAAUAUUCAAUCUAUUGGUCUCUCACUACAUCAAAAAUGAUUUAUAUAUAUAGUAGUAAUUAAUUAACGACAAUAGUUUAAUUAAUAUGUUUUUUUUAAUUUAUCCGUCAAAAAUCCGCUCAUCAAAUUAUAAUCCGUCCAAAUUUGUUUGAGUUGAUUAUUGAUCUGCUUAUUUAUAAAUUAGCUCAAUUCAUAAAUUCAUUAUUUUUAUUAAUUCAUUUUUUAUAUAAUCAUAAUAAAGAAAAAUAAUAAUUUUAUAGAGUACUAAAAAUAAUAAAAGAAAAAAAAAUUAAAACCUAGUUCAUAAAUAUUGAUUAAUCUUAUUAUGUGACAAAAAUUCAGUGGGAAUUGAAUUCAAUAACUUACCUAAAAUAACAGCUCCUGUUACCUAAAAUAACCUAGUUCAUUUGUUUUUUUUCUGCAGUUAACGGGAAAAAAAGUAUCUUCAAAGAUAUUUUUAAUCUUCUAUAAUUCAAUAUUACUAAUUUGUUAAAUCAAGUUAAUUAUAGGAGAAAUGGCGCUUCAAAAAGUGGGGCACGUGGUCCUAUAAAAAUUAGAAAUUGAAAAUAAUUAAUUAAGGAAAUAAAGUAACUUGAGAAGUAGUAAUUAAGUAACUUUAGUUUGUUCAAUUACGGUUAUAGUAGUAAUUUAGGAAAUAAAGUAACUUGAGUGUGUUAAGUAAUUUGAAUUUUUUCCAUUAGGGUUAUAAGAUGUGUAUAAAUAGAUAACUAUCUUUGUUUAGAUUUCAUAGUUCACAUAAUUAAUUAGAAUUAAUGUCGAAGCCAAUGGGAAUACGUUUUCAUCCUACUGAUACGGAGCUAAUCAACUAUCUUAAGAAGUUUUUCAAUGGCGAAUUAUCUUUGAAUCAACAAUGUCCUAUCCAGUUUGCGGAUAUAUAUGGAGAUCAACCACCAUGGGAGAUAUUUGGAGCUAAUUCUGAAGAGAAGUUUCGUUACUUUAUUACUCCUUUGAAGAAGCGGAAGACUGAAUAUAAAAGGUUUUCUCGAAUUUGUGCUAAAGGGACGUGGAAAGGGCAAACCGGGGAACAUCUUAUAAGGAGGAAUCGUACGACGCCUGUGGUAGGAUUUAAGAGAAAUUUCAAGUUUGAAACAAGUGAGUGUGGCCAAGAUAAAACCUGGUUGAUGGUAGAAUAUCAUGUCGCGGAUAGUUUCUUUAAGGAAAAUAAUCAUAUUCUUAAAGAAGAUUUUGUAGUGUGUAGAAUAAAGAAGAAAAUGAAUAAAGAGAAGAACGUGGAUCAUGUUAUGGAGGAACAAGAUGGAGAUGUUGCGGGAAUUCUUGAUCCUAUGUUGCUUGAACCUAAUCAUAAUAACGACUACUCCACAACGGAAGAUCAAGUUAGGGUUUGUGAUGAACAAGAGGCUACAACUUCCUCUUUGCAUGGAGAUCAAAACAGUACUACAAUGGAGAAGAGAGAGACAACGUUGGAAGUACAAGAAGGCCACGGAGUUGAGGAUAUUAGAAGCAAUGAAUUUCAGGAAGAGAUGUAUAGAACAUUUGAGGACAUUCCUGUUGAUAUUCCUGAUGAUUGGUUGCAGAAUUCACACGUUCUACAAGAUAUAUAAUACACAUCAAAAUAUUUAUAUACUUAAUUCAUUAAAUGGAUUAUGCAGUUAAAAAGAAUUAUUGUAUAUAGUUCAAUUCACAAUUUGUCAAUUAUUUUUCUUACGGAGUACUUUUUAGAUGUUAACUGUUGCAUCUAAUCAUACAAUUUUGAAUCACCUGUACAGAUCCAGGCUUUGAUCGCAUUGUUUGGUUAUCUGAUAUAGAGUCGCAGCUGUAGUUUAGCAUGGCAGUUUUAUUACUUGCUUGCAGAUAAAAAUAAUGUCAUUAUUUGCACAUUAUUGUUACAUGCAUGAAUAUAAAAUUCUUGCAUAACUUAAACAAAUCAGUGUAGUGUGUUAAACGUGAACUUCCUAACAUUGUAAAUGUAUAUAUAGUUAAGAGUUCCUAAAAGGAUGAUCACUGGUGGUUUCAUUAACUAGGACAACAAAAUUCGCUCAUAAAGUUAUAAUCCGUCUCAUUUAUUUAAGUUUGAGUUGAUUAUUGAUUUGUUUAUUUAUUAAUUAGCGCAAUUCAUAAAUUCAUAUUUUAAUUUGAUAUGCUAUAUAUAAUCAUAAUUCAAAAAAAUAUUUUUUAUAAGGUACUAACAAUACUAAUAGAAUUAAAAAAUCAUUUAAACCUAGUAAUAAGAGUUGGACGGUUAUUUUGUAAUUAUAUUGCAACAUAUCCAGAUUUUAAUGAAAAUGGAAAGAGCUGGCAAGGCAUCUAAUUAUUUAAAUAUUUUUUAAACCGUCACUACAGAGAAUUAAACUCACUAAAAAAGAAAUAGCUUCGAGAAUUGAAAAUGGAAAGAGCUGGCAAGGCAUCAAUGACACAAUCUUGACGAAUUUUUGAUCAAAAUAAGCUAUUAUUUAAAUUAAUUUACAGUAAUAAUACAUUUUUAAAAAACUUUACAAAACUAGUAUAAACGUUGUUAGUAGUAACGUAUUAGCCCAUAUUUUAUUUCAAAAGAAUAAACGGACAAAAGUUAAUGAGGGACGACAUUAAGUAGGAAAACGUUACUACGGGUAACGUUUUAUAUUUAUUUAUACAUUUAAUUCUAAUUUUUCCCUAAACCCAAUUUUGACCCUUAUACGAUUUAACCUACUCUAAACCCAAUUUCAGUUCUACUUUGAAAUUUCACCCCUGCCCUAACCUCAAUCUCAUCUAGUGCUGCGAACACCGUUCAGUUCCCGAUUCUUGUCGCUAGUUUUCCGGAAGAAGGAGAUUCAGCAUCAUAACUAUUUCAAGGUAAUUUUCUUUGUUCAAGGUUUGAUUUUUCUUUACGAAGUAAGGCUUGACAAAUUCAUAGAAGAAUUCUAUCUUUUGUAAAUUGAGGGAAAACCCAUGAAAUUGAAUUUCAAUAUAGGAUUCUAUUUAAUUUGUUGUAGAUUUUGAUUUGAUUUUAAGUUUUUUGGACUAUUUUCCGACACUCCUUUCAUGGCCAGUGAACUCGAACUCUCUCUGAUUUUUUGAUUUGCUUUCGUAGCAACUUUCACAUCCCAACUACCGUUGAUUCGAAUAACGGAAGCUCCGAUGAGCAAAGGUAUCAACUGCAUAAAGAAAACCACUUUGAUUGUAAGGGCAGGCAUUGCUCCGGCCAGAUACUAUCUUAUAUGAACUUCCAAGUUUUCUCUUUUUCUAAUACGAAGAAGAUACAAUUUUUGAUAAUGCCAAAUAAUUUUUUAGAUCUUUGAAGACACUUUUUUGGGAUCAUUUUCACUUGGUAUCAAAACAUUGUUAAUUAGAGUCAUAGUAAUAGCAUGCUGCCUAUCCAAAUUCCUAAUUCGCUUUGUCUAAUUCAUGCUUCUCUUUUUUAGAUGAAUGUCAAGAAAAAAUCACAUAACAAUAUUUGAGCCAACAUUUAAGUUUACUUUCAUAUGUAUCUCAUAGGUAUUUUCUUUUAUGGCGGAUAAUAGUGAAUACAAGUUGGAUCCCGAUCCACUCGAAUUGGAUGUAUUAAUAGGACAGCUCACUCAUAGAUCACAGGAUAUAUGGGAAGGAAGUUCUACUAUGAUUCUUAAUACGAGAAGAGAAGAUGGAAAUUUUUGGAAGCUCGUAGAAAAAUAUCCUAUCCAUCUAUGAGUUCUUGAAGUGAUUUGAAUAUGUGGAUUGUAUGGUGUUUACAGAGCUAAUCGGCCUGCUAUCGACCAUAGUUUGAUCACUGCAUUAGUUGAGCGAUGGCGUCCCGAAACUCAUACUUUUCACUUUAAGACAGGUGAAGCAACAGUCACCUUACAGGACGUAGAGGUGUUGUAUGGAUUACCUGUGAAUGGUGAUCCAGUACUUGGUAAUGAGACGAUAAAGACCAUAGGGGAUUGGCAAAACAUUUGUCAAAGAUUAUUAGGUUUCAUUCCAUCUCAUGAAGACUUCAAAACAAAUUUCCUCAAGGUCGCUGCAUUUAAUGCAUACAUGCUAAGUCAACCAGAGUUGUCGAACACGGCAACGCAAGAUAUGAUCAAUCAGAAGGCCAGAUGUACAUGUUUUGGAUGAUUACAGGUAUGUUGAUGGCGGAUACAUCUGGUGAUUAUUUGAAGCUUAUGUACUUACCUAUGCUCGAGGACAUCGAUAAAAUUGGGUCUUAUAGUUGGGGGAGUGCGACCUUAGCUUACUUUUAUCAUUUUCUUGUAAAACCUCAUAGACUACCCAAAAUGAAAUAGCAAGAUUUCUACCACUACUUCAGGUAUACCUAAAAAUUGUCCAUAUUAUUUAUUUGUAUUUCUUAUAAUUUACUAAUUUGUUUGAUUUAUUUUCUUAUUGUUAGAACGUAUAAGAAGUUAUUUGGCGAAGAAAUGGUAGCAUUUGAUUGAAUUGAUAUCCUGUUUUGUGCAGAAUUAUGAGAUUGAUUGGAUCAAUGUGUGACCUGUACAAUCUUGGAUGACCUAAUCUGUAAUGCAAAUAUGCAAUCAAUAAAUUCGAGUGAAAAGAAGUGUUUGAAACGUUCGAGAUCAUUUUCAAGUGAGACAUAUAGAAUCAUGAACGUGGUCAUGAAUAUUUGAACAACUUGAAAAAUACAAAUGAUGCCAUACAAAUUAAAAUGAAGCAAAAUACAUAAUUAGAGUUAUUUGAAAGUAAAAAUACAUAUUUAGACUACCCACUUAAGUUUGAUUUCGAGUUGGACAUCUACGCCUAUCAUGUCCGGUCUGUCUACACAAUCCACAAGCCCGCCCAUUUACUGCAGGAUCACGAUCCAUCCCAUUAGGAAUUCUAGUAGUCCUUGAUCGAUUGGGACGACGAUAGAAUUCAUUACUUCUCAUUAUAAAACUUGGCGAUAGCCAAUAUGCCUCAUGCCCAAUCGGUGAGAAUGACCCAGAAUCUCGCUUACAAAAUUUCUAGCUAGUGCUCCCAUUCUUUUAGUAACCUUCAUGACAUGUGAACACGAAAAGUGCAAAUUUGCCCAUUUUUCACAAUCACAUUUUUUUUCACUUAGUGAAACACAGUGAGGAUUACCACUAGUACCAUUAAUCUGUAUAGAUCUAACCUCAUAUACCCCUGUGGAUAUAUUCCAAUCAUAAACAAAGUGUCUUUUUGAACUUUCAUAGUUCUUUUUCCACUUCAUUUUGAAACUGCUUGUCCACAAUUCUCUUUGCUCAACAUGUUGGUGAGUUGUUUGACAUCUACGAGUAUAUCGUUCAACGGUUUGCUCCAAUGAAAGUCCAACCAUGGCAGUGACUUUCCGACCUCAAAGAAACCAUGGAAAACCCAAUGAAUCAUAAAACCUGCAUCUCACAAUCCAUAAGCUCUUACUUGAUAUAACAACCUUGAAUUCUUUAUUUUUGAGCAAACUCCAAAUUGUCACAGCCCGUUUCAACUUAACUUUGCUGCUAAAACACAUAUCUUUUUUUGCAUCCUCGGACCAAACAAAACAACAUUUCAUUUCGGAUUCACGAGUAGAGAUAAAAAUAUCUUCCCCGUUCUCCAAUGUUGUAAAGUAAGGUAUAUCAUUAUUUUGCAUUAAUUUAAGAUACGUCUUGAUCAAAUUGAUUUUGAAGAUUUACCCCACUAGUAUUUUGAGGUAAAUCUCCAAUAUCUCCAUCGGAUUCACUUUCAAUGGCUUUACUCUCUCCAUCAUCUUCUGAAGGUUCAUCCUCCUCUGAAUUUUCAUCGCUUCUUUGAGCAUGUGCAUCAUUACACAAAUCAAAGGCAACUUCAUCUUCUCUGUAGAAAAAAAUAAGUUAAUUUCAUGAAAUACAUAAAAUGAAAAUAUAUAUUAUUCAUGCUACUAAAUAGAAUUAGUAUUUUUUUAUAUGAAAAGAUUGCUCUACCUGGUUUCAUAUUGAUUGUGGCUAUUCUCAAUAUGUCUUUGACUACUCGAGCAUUCAGUAAAUGAUCGAUUUUCAUAUUCGUUAAGGCCUACACCAAAAGAGUGAUGGAUACCAUGUGUUGCACUGUAUGCAUAAUGAGGCUGACUGAUUGUGGCAAAUCCAUAAUUUUGAGCCAAUAAAUUCAUAUGAUAACCAUGUUGAUCAUUCAUUUGAAAUAGAUUAUCUUGAUUUAUUGGUCUAAUCUUUAUAUACAUCUCCAAAAGAUUUAUAUCAAUCUUGUUCAAAAAUUUCUGAGGAAUGACAAAAAAUUAUAGCAAAGAUUUGUCAUUCUCAAUUUUGAACUCAAUAAAUCUUGUAAUGUUACCUUGAAAUGAGCAUGGAUAUUUUCUAGAAAUAUCCAAUUGAAUAUUUUCACCAUUAGUCCCCAUUUUCUCAUGCAAUAAUUUAAUUAAUUCAACGUAGUUGGUCGAAAUAGACAUGCUAACAAUCAUUCUGGCACAUUCUUUAUAUCGAAAUUCAUUCAUUUCAGUGAUUAUUUCACCACCCCAAUACAAAGCAAUCAUCACGUUAUCUUCAAAAUUAGCCAUCAAAAAAUCCUACACACAAAAAUAAGAUGCAUUAUAGUUAUUAAAAAUAAUGUUUUUAUAAAUACAUUACAACAUAUUGACAAGACUUACCUAUUAAAAUUUUGUGAGUAUUGAUUCAACAAUGGGGCACAUUAGCAGAAACUUUGUAGAAAAUUAUUGAAAUGUGCUAAACAUUCUACACAACCAUUUCUUAUAAUGAUAUGUGGUCAAAUUGUAAAAGGAACACUUUAGCAGUUUGUUGUUACUGUCAGUCACGUUUUAAAGUUAAAACGUAACAUAUAGUAACGUUUUAUUGGCAGAUCAAAUCAAUAAGACAUCUUCAGAGCCCCGUGACAUGAUUCGAUAGAAUCGUUACUCAGAGUAACGUUUUAGUCUUAAAACGUGACUCAUAGUAACAACUUUAACGUCAAAUUUCGUACAAAGAUUCUUAGUUAGCAGACGUGAUUUGAUUCGACAGAAUCGUUACUAGGAGUAACGUUUUACCUUUAAAACGUGCUUCAUAAUAACGAAAUUGGUACAAAGAUUUGAAAGUGGCAGAUUUGUAGAAACUCGUUAUUGAUGGUAACGUUUUAAGCCUAAAACGUUACUUUUAGUAACGUAAAUCUUCUUUAACGCCGUCUCCCAAGUAUUUUUGGUCCAUUUAUUUUAUAAAAUGAAAUAAAGCCUAAUACGUUACUACCAACAACGUUUAUACUAGUUUUGUAAAAUUUUAAAGUUUCAUAUUAUUUUGGUGAAUUGAAUCAAAUAAUAGCUUAUUUUGAUUAACUCUUCCAAUCUUGACUGAAAGAAUAAUUUAAGAUCUCUAUAUAUACAAUAAGAUCUAAACAUACAAAAAUAAAAAAUAAAAAAUAACUCAUUAAUAUGACUCAUCUUUUAUUAAAAACUCAUCUCAUCUUGAUUUGAUAAAAUUGUAUUUUUCUAAAAGUUGGACAAUUGAGCUAAAGUGUUAUCAAUAAUAUGUUUAGUCAUCCGUCAGAUUUUAAUUUGUUCAUUUAAUUUAAAAUGUUUUUCUUUUCAAUCAAUUAUUUAAAGCAUUUUUAGUAGAUGUUGAAUUGUUUUUCUUUUCAAUCAGAUUUUCUUUUCAUUUGAUUUGUAUAUUUUCUUAUCAAUUCGUAUAUAUUUGUUGGGUUCAAAAGUGAUCUUGGCGUCAUGUCGAAACUUACAAUUGCAUAUCAUAUGGUUGAUAAAUCAGAUGACAAUUAAAAACAUACUAAAGACAUAUUUAUUAAUAUGGUUUGGUCAAGCGACCUACAUAUUGUAAAACUUAAUAUUGAAAAACAUAAAUAUGUUUAGGAGAAAAUCUCUCCAUAAACAAGACUCUUAAACGACUACAUUGUGAAUUCUAUUAUGUUCUUAAUAUGAGAAGAGUGGUCAUCAAUUUAUAGAUCUCCUAACUUUUCCUCUAAGGAAAUAAUAAACCAAAUAUGAAAGAAAAAUAUAUUUUCCUUUCGUGAAAAGUAAAAACAUUUAUGGUAAUGCUUUGUCUUUUCUUUUAGGAAAAAUUAAACUUCAAAUAAGGUAAGAAAAUCAGGGCAAAACCCUAACAAAUCUUCCCUUUUGGCUUGAAUUUUCUUGCAUAAUAAUCUUGAUCAUCUUUCUUCACACAAUCUUCAUGUAUCACUGUUGCUUACCAUGAUUUAAAAAUUGAUAUGGGCUAAAACAAAUUAAAAAGAACAAAAAAAUCCCUUUUUUUUAUGGAAAAGAUAUGAUUGUGUGGUAGACUAGUAGUUAUAUAUAAAGCAACUUUCACAUAUAACAAAUAUAAAAAUCAUAUUUGUAUGUUAUAGCUAUAGUUUGCAUAAUUGCGCUCCAUAACAAAUUUUUAUGUUUGCUAUGGAGCUUUUGAUUUGUAUAAUUCGCUACAAACAUCCAAUUUUAUACAAAUUGUUCAGUUUUGUAUAAAUUCAUUUAUACAUUGUAAUUUGUAUAAUAAGAUCUGUAUUUGUAUAAUUAUAAGUGUAUAUGACGAAAAUAUUGUAUUUAUAUUUGUAUAUACACUUUUUCUCUCACUUUUAUACAAACACAAACGUAUUUUAUACAUUUUUAUACCGAAAUGUAUAAAAUGACUAAUUGUAUACCGAAUCAGAUGACAAAAAAAGUGAUGUUUUCUGCUAAUUACAAUUAAAAUAAACUAUGACUAUAACAUUUAAUUUGAAUUAAUUUGCUAUUUCAUACAAUUUUCCUGUGGAGGGUUCUUAUUGUUCAAAUAUUUUUUUGUUAUAAGUUAUCAAAGAGUGACUUAAUUUCAGCGAGGAGCUUUAAAAAUUGGCUAUAGUUUGAGCUAAUUAGAUAUUUAUAGCUAUAGUUUACUUAAUUACGAUUCAUAACUACAUGUUAAAAGGAGGAGAGGGACAAGACAUAUUGGGAGAGGGAGGAUCGACAGAAGGGAGCGAGAUAUGAGAGAGAGAGGGGAUAGAGAGGAGAGAAAUACAAUUUAUUUGUACACCUGAAAUAAUUGUAUCACAAAUUCAAUUAAUUUAUAUAAAAAACCAGCUAAUAGAAGGAUGAGAGAGAGAGAGAGAGGAGAGAGACACAAUUAAUUUGUAUAUUUGAUCGAUAAUUGUAUCACUAAUAUAAUUGAUACAAUUGUUAUAUCAAUGAAUACAAUUGUAUAAAUAUUGUAUUUCGUUACAAAUUGUAUUUGUAUUCAUCUAUUGCCUUGUGUAGUAUUGUAUUUACGCGCUACUACGUGUAUUUGUGUUUGUGUAAUUGACUGUUACCAUUUGUAUUUGUAUUGUAUAAGUAGGCGAGCGAGAAAUGAUAGAGAGAGGUGAUUAGAGGCGCGAGAGAGUGUAAAGAGAGGGCGAGAGGUGAGAGAGAGAUAUUUGCUAUAAAAUUCUAAUUAUAUCUGCAAAUUUUAAUUCUUGUAAACUAUAAUGGACAAAUUACUUAACUACACUCCUUUACUUACCUUAAUAUCCAUUUAUCCCUACUUGUUUCAAAAUUUUCAAAAAUCCCUUAUUUUACCUAUGUAUCCCGCUAUGUGGAAUGUAUCAAACCUAAUGUAUCCCGUGCACAACGCUAUGUAUCCCGCAAACAUCAUUUUUAAGAGAUUUUUGGUAAAUAAAAAACUAGAAGGGAUAUGAUGUUAUUUAGUACUUAUCAUAUUACAUGUUUGUCUUACUAGGUAACUUUUCAAAUUUCGAUUAGUUUUAAAACUUUGGCUAAUCGAUAAACAAAGUAAAGUGGUUAAUUGUCAAAACCCUCGGAAAUUCAUCUUUGGGCCCUUAUUAGUUGUCCGUUGAGUUAACGGCCCAUUAAAAAACCAAGUGCUUUAAAACGGGGGAGUCUUUUUGUUUUUUUUUGUGUUCACUUAUCAAGUUUCAAACUAAGCAAUCAUGGAAGAAGAAAAAACUUUAGCAGAGUUUGAUGCCUUCGAACACCCAAUGGAAUUGGAAUUGCGAGACGGAGAAGAAGGAGGGGAAGGGGACAACGACGGAGAUAACAACAAUAAAGAGGCUGAUGACGAAGACGAAGAGGGGGAGGAAGAAGAAGAAGAAGAUGGAAGCGGAGAGUAUAAAUUUCAAUUCGGAGCUGAAAUGGAUCCUUUGGCAUUCACUGAAGUGGACGCCUUUGGACGCCAGCCAUACCAGCAGUUUGAGCACCUCGAACACCAAUAUGAAGCACUCGCUGCCAAAAAGCGGAAAGCUCAAGCCCUACCUCCCAGGUAAUUUUGAUAUUGUGAAGCGAAAGGGAAAAAAAGCUGAGUUUCUUGCUACACGGUAAUGAAUAAUGAAUAGUGAUUGUACUCAUGUAAACGGAAAUACAUACAUUUUUUUUUUUGGAUUUUUGACAUGAAAAUUUAUACUUUGCCGAAGUGCAUGAUGUAAAAAUUCUACUCUGUCUUUCUGAAUCCAUGCUCCUCUACUCUUCCUUUUACUCGUGAAAUUUCACCUUAGAAUUAGCAUAGAAAAGUAAAUAAUCACCUUAAUGUUGCCCUAUUAUUUUUUGGGAACUUACAUAAAUCCCACUAGUUUAGUAAUUAGAUACACUCUACUUUACAAUAUUACGUAUCUUACCAGAUUUUGGUGUCUAGACAUGUAUCUCAGAUAUAUGAGGUCAAAUUUAUGUUUAAUUUGUUUUAGAUACAUUGUAUUCAAGUGGAUUUGCAUGUAUUUGGGAUACAUAGCGAAUAUCACUUGCCUCCCUCGCCUCUCUCCCAUCUUGCUCACCACUCUCCCAUGUAUUUGGUAUCCCAAAUACAUGCGAAUCACUCCAUAUAUAUAUAUAAAUAUAUAUAUAUAUAUAGAUACAUGUAUCUAGUGUUAUUCACAUGUAUUUGGGAUACAUACAAAUCUUGCUCACCUCCGUCUCCAAUCUCGCUCGCGUCUCUCCCUAUUUUUGUGUAUCUGGUAACAAAAAUACAUGUGCACAUGUGUAAGAUAAAUAGAAAACUCUUAAUUAGUGGUUAAUUAGUGGUAAGAUAUGUAAAAUUUUGAAACUAUAGGUAAUAAUAGUAUAUAUGGUAGUGAAGUAUGUGUAAUUAUGUACUUCGGUUGCAGUUUUAAAUAAUCACCUUAAGUUGUAAUUGGCACUAUAGUCAGAAUAGUGAUCAGAGAGAUGAAAGAAUAUGUAUUGAGGCCUUGGUGAAUGCUGAGAUACACCAUUUUUCUUUUCGAUAAGUUAAUACAUACUACACCUAUUUAUAAGUGUCAAACACAAUACUCAAUGAAAUUUGUGCAGACUGAUAUUAUAUCUAACUUAAAAUUAGAACUUUUUUGAUGUUCUGAUUCUCAUAUUCUAGACACUUCUAAUAAUUUUGUGAUUGUUUUAACUAGGGGCGGGGGAUGGGGUUGGUGUAAUUAAUUAUCUCUUUGAUUGCAGUACUGUUUACAUGCUUUGUCUGGAUUUUGGACACUUUGCCUCUCAUUGACCUUCAUUUUAUAUUAAUUUCUUAUACCAUGUUUGGGGAUGGGUGUGUGAGUGAGUGCAGUGAGAUCCCAGCAAAGAAAUCUAGGCAAGAAGACCGUCAAGAAGAUGGUCCAGGAGCAAGCUAUGAUGAAAUAUUGGAAGCUAUGAAUUAUGGGAUGAGGAGAAAAUCAAGGAAGGUAUGAUAUCCGCUUGUUGUUUUCUCUAUAAUAUGUUGUCAUUAGUAGUCUGGGGAAACUUUGAACUCCACUUACAAAAUACUAGAUCUAAGCAGACCAUGGGCCCAAGCUCAACCUUGACAAUUCAUUUUUUUUUUUGCAUUCUUUUGUUUUUUGGGUUCUUGGCUAUUAUUUUCUUAUGAGUAGUCAUUAGUUGAAUAACUAGAAUCACCAAAACAUGGUACUUUAUUUUACCUUUACCAGCUUAUGGUUUCAGAUCCUUAUACAAGGUCUUAAAGUCAAGAUCUUUAAUUUCAAGCUUAAGAUCUCUUAUUAUAUCUCAUUAAAACGAGUUUUUCCUAAUAUAGUUGUUAAAUGAUAAGGGAAUUUCAAUUGAAUUACAUGUAGCAUUAAUCAUUUGGGAAAAAGAUUACUAAUGCAAGCUGGUCAUUGGGACUUUACUUGGACUUGGAAGAUCUAUGGAAGACUAAAGCUGCGACAAAGGUGGCACAUUUUGGAUGGGUUGCAGCUAGGAAUGUUUGUUUAACUCAGAACUGAUUACAAAGAAUUGGUUAUGCCAUAUGCAGUAGAUUAAAGAAUACCUUGAGUUUUGAGGAUAUGAAGCACCAUCUUGCUUACCUAAGCUAGGUUUGAGGUUAAGCUUGUUGAUCUCCAGUGCUAAGGUUAUGUCACACCAAGAGACACUUCCAGCUAUAAGCUUAGCUAAGAAAAAACUCAAUGAUCUUAACUGAUAGUGGUUGUGGUGCUUACCCAAUGAGCUUUUGGCCUUCAACACAUUCACACUCUAAGCAAUUCAUGGAAGUUAUGAAUGGUUUAAGGAGUUACUAAAUUACUGAUUCCAGAAGAAUGAAAAGAAUUUUUACAAAUUAGUUUGUGAACUAUUUGUCAAUGUUUUCCCUAUCCAAUGUUCCUACCUUAACUAUUAACUCACCUUGUGAAGCUAUCAGUUUUCAAUAUAUUUUGGAUGGGCUUUGGCUAUGUUUUGACUGUUCAGAACAAUCUGAGGUUGUCGCCAUUUUUAUUGAAAUUAGUUUAUUAGGUAGUCUUUUUGCAACCUGUUAUUUUGACCCCUCUUUAUUUUCGGUUGCAAGUUCUUGUUUUGCAUAUUGUAAAUAUUGUGCAGAUGCUAGUAAUCUUCUGCUCACUAUGUUAUGUUGUACCAUAUGUAGCUCAAGAAGAGAGGUCGGCGGAAGGGAUCAAAGAGUAAAGUUAGUUCAGAAUUGAAAAGAAAACUUGGUGAUGCCACUCUUCACUAUGCACAUGGCCGUUACGAAGAGGUAUGCAUCUAGCGUCGUGCAUCCCUGAUCUUGCUUGAUCUGCAUUUAUACUUUUCUGCUUUGCGUGUAGAUAUGAUAUCAAUAAGGCAUGAAAAGAAUAAUUUCAUCAAGAUUGUACUUACUUUACACAGUAAAAUAUAUGAAUUGACACAAGCUAUCUUUUCUAAAAAAAAAUAUAUAUAAUGAAUUGACACAUGAGGUGGCUACUUUCUCUUUGUUGUUGUCGGUAAUGGUCCUGCUCUAACAAAUGAACCUAUUUUUGCGUCUGGAUAUUUGUUCCUACUUGGUUUUUGAUUGGUAUUUUCUGUCAAUUAUAUGUAAAAAUUUGUGCACACCUGUUGAAGAAGUGGUCUUUUCCCCGUUCUUGAUGUAUUUGCUUUAGGAAGGGCUCUAUAACAGCUAUUAGUCCUUCCAUUUCUUAUUUAUCUCAUUGUUAGUGUUCUCUGUUGCAGGCCAAACUUGUGUUGCGUGAAGUCGUUCGUCUUUCGCCAAAUCUUCCUGAUCCAUACCAUACACUUGGCCUGAUUUACAAUGCUAUGGGUGAUAAGAAGAGAGCAAUGAAUUUCUACAUGCUUGCAGCACAUCUGUCACCGAAGGAUGCAUCUCUAUGGAAUCUCCUGGUUGCUUGGUCCACGUGAGAAUUCCUUGGACUUCUUGUAUCAUCAUUUGUUUUUCUUUGUCUUUUCUUGUUUUUUUUUCUGUUGUAUAUACAUUUCAAGAAAAUCACAGUUGAGCUGUCUACUCAUAUAUGGUGUAAAAAUAUGUCAUCCUUAUUCCUUUUCUUAUUUCAUACAGCACUGUAUUAUCGUUCCUAUGUGGAGUAGAUUCCUGCAUAUAUUUAGAGAUCCAGUGUUUAGGGGAAAAAGUUAUCCCCUUGAGAUCAAAUCUUUGUCCCCUACGCGUUCAGUGGUAUGCGAAAAUGCUGAGCCCUUUCUGAAAUGGGCUUUCUCUGCCCUUCCUUUCAACUUUGACAGUUAUUUUAUUAUAUAUUCCCUAUUGGAAGGGCAUCCUUUGAAAACUAACACAAAAAUUCCAUUAUCAUCUACUGUUUUCUUUAACCUUCUGAAAAAGUGAAGGAGACAGAUAUGCUUAGAUGGACGGUUAAGGGUUCUUUGUGUUACUUUUGGUUUUAAAGACAUCGAGAGAGAUAAACCACAAGGAUACAAAUAUAUUUACUUCUUGUAUGAUGCUUAAGUGAUAGUUUGGUCCUAAAGGAGCUCAAUUGAUAUGUUGUGGGGUGAAAACAACCCAUUCUGCAUUAGGAAUUGAGAAAGCAUCAGGUCUGUGUGUGUUCGAUACUGAUGCACAAAGUUCAGAUAUUCUACAUUUUGAGUGACAGCCUACUGAAGGAUUUUUUUGUAGCACAUCUCUUGGUCAAUUAAUUUAGGAAUGUGUUAUGUAUGUGACAGUAGACAUUUGACCUGUUUCCUUUUAAACCCAUGAUGAAGUAGCAAAUAGGUAUUGUUCACCGUGUUUUUAUUGCCAAUUUUAGGUUUUGGUUUUAAAAUUGUUGUAUAAGAUUGCUCCCCGGUUCCUGUUUAUUUUUGCAACAUUUGGUGCUUCUUGAGUAUUGUCAGUUAAAAGAUAACUUGUAACUGUACAGAGAUCAGGGAGAUAGGAAACAGACCCGCUAUUGCCUUUCCAAAGCAAUAAAAGCAGACCCUGAAGACCUUAGUCUUAGGUUUCACAGGGCAUCAAUAUAUAUUGAACUUGGAGAUUAUCAAAAAGCUGCAGAGCAGUACGAACAAAUUGCUCGUCUAUGCCCUAAUGAUGUUGGAGUACUUAAGACAGCUGUUCAGGUGUCUGCAUCUAUUCUUCCUUCAAUAUCUGUCAAACUUUGUUGUCUUAUUGAUUUGCAUAAAGUUGUUGUUGAAGAGUCCCACAUCGGAUAAAAAAGGGAUGUGUGGUCUCCUUAUGUGGUCUUGGGCAGUUGUCCCCUUUUGAACUAGCUUUUGUGGUUGAGUUAGGCCCAAGAUCCAUUUCUCUACAUGGUUAAGCUUCGAGUCCAUCUAAAAUAUAUUGUUUUCGAUGUUGGAUCUCCUGUCUUUUAUUGUCCACGCUCCAGAUGUCCAGUCCUGUGUGUGCGGGGUGUUGGAGUCCCACUCGGUUUGUGGGCUGGGUACGUGGACUCCUUAGAUGGUCUUAGACAAUCUUCCCCUCAUGAGUUAACUUUUGGGAUUGAUUAGGCCCAACGUCCAUUUUUAAACAUGGUAUCAGUGUAGGACCCAACCCCAAUUCUUUUUUUUUGAUGUUGGCCCCCCAUAUUAAAUUGUCCAUGCUCCAGACAUUGUCCAGGUCCGUGCUUGAGGUGGGGUGUUAAAGAGUCCACAUCAGAUGAAAAAGGGAUGGGUGAUGGUCUCGAUAUGUAGUCUUAGGCAAUCUUUCCACCUUGAGCUAACUUUUCGAGUUGAGUUAGGCCCAAGAUUCAUUAGAGUUGUUUUGGCCUAAGCACCAAAUGGUUACAUGUUGAAUGCCGCAUCUUAUGCUAUUUUUUUAAAUCCAUUUUACUUUCUAUUGCCGUUCUUAUGUUCAUUGGACAUCAUUUGUCUUUAUAUUACUAAGGCGGAACCCAUCGAUGGCCCCCUAAAGUUGGCACCAACUUUCACUUAGACGCCUUAACUAAGCUUUGUUCAUUUUAGACACCUCAUGUCAUGUCCCGCUGUGUCAUUUUGACACUUUUUACUGAAUUGACAAAGUGCGUGUGUUGCAUUGAUUUUAAGCUCGUAGAAAACAUUUUUUUUGUGAAAAAAAAUAUUUUUUCUUCCCUCUUUCUCCUUCACCUUUCACCACCAUUAUGUAUGUACUGAUUUUGAGUAAAACAAAAAGAAUCAUAUACUCAUUGAAAAAGGUUAAAAAAGAAUCAUAAACUGAUUGAAAUAACUUACAAAAGCUAUUUUUUUUUAAAAACAAUCAGAUCUAAAAAAUAACAUCACUACCUCACCGGAAAAGAUGGAGAUCCACCAUUUUUGUUACUAUCUUUCUCUCCCUCUCCCUCUCCCUCUCCCUCUCUUCCGCUAAAACAUAUUUUAUUUAGAAUUAGAAUUAUUAGUUAUAAAAGAAAAUAUGAGACGUCAUUGAAAAAUAAAUUGGAUCUAAAUCUCUUCAAUUUUUCCGGCGGAACUCCAAUUUCCGGCGAUUUUUAUUAGAUAUGAGUCAUUGAAAUGACUUCCUAGAAAAUGAAGUCUUUUCUUAUUGAAAUAUUUUUAAAAUAUAAGUUUAAAUGGUUUUUCUUUCUUCUUCUUAUAAUUAAAUUUUUACUUUUUUAACCAAAUUGACACAUGUCUUCUCUUAGUUUGUCAUCAUGCCAUGUCAUCCGCGAGUGGAUGACACACAUUUUUUAACUUUUGCUGAUUGUUAAAGAAGUGUCAAAAUGACAUAGUAGGACAUGCCAUAAGGUGUCUAAAAUGAAAAAAGCUUAGUUGAAGUGUCUAAGUGAAAGUUGGUGCCAACUUUAGGGGGCCAUCGAUGGGUUCAACCUAUUACUAAUAAAGACAACAUGUUUUACUAUAACUAUUAUUUUUUAUCAAGUAAAGGGUUUCAUUAAUAAUAUCAAGGUUUUGAGAUCUGACAAAUUGACGAGAACAUGCCAAGAGAAUCAUUAUGAGAAAUACUGUUGCUUUAGUCCAAUAAUUACAGGAUUUUUUUUUGUAUAUAUAUAAUUAAUGCUGUUUCAAAUAGUACUUACUCUCAUAUUUCACCGUUAAGCAUGAAAUUGACUUCUUGUCUGCUUCUCCAGUUUUACAGCAAAUGUGGCAAACAUGAGUGCUCUGUUGGUAUCCUCGAAGACUACCUGAAAAAUCAUCCAACUGAAGCUGAUUUAAGUGUGAUACAUCUGUUAGCUGUGAUACACAUGGAAGACAAUGCACAUUUAAAAGCUCUUGAUCUAAUUGAGUGGGCAAAGCAGAGAUAUUUUACUGGGAAACAGAUGCCUCUUAAUUUAAAUAUCAAAGCUGGAAUAUGUCAUUUACAUCUUGGCCAUAUAGAGGAGGCAGAGGUUUGUUUGAGCUUGAUGUUGAAGUUUCUUGUUGCUUAUAGAAGUGCCAUCACUCAUAAUAAUUCUGCCAUGAUGAGUUCUUUAUGCAAUGUAAAGGCUGAUCAAGUACAGUAGUUCGUAGAACAAUUAGUGAAACACAAUAUUCUGAUGAGUAUGACAGUGAAAGUGUGAAUGAUCUUUCUCUUUUUACGUGCUACUGGAAUCAUGGCAACUGUGGACUAGGUUUUCGGAGUUGUUCUAUUUUCCUCUUAGUAUUAACUGUUGUUAUGGGUAGUGGGUGUUGCUGUUCAAGGGAAAAUAUCUGUCUGAGAUUCCAUUUGAAAGCUCCUGCAUAUUUCUGUAACAUAACGAUGGAAAAGCUAAAUGUGGUCGAGAUUUAUUUAACUAAAACUUUGUACCAUCAGAAAUUAGAAAUCUACUUUCAGUUAUUUGGCACCAUAACUAGAUGUAAUGGUGUUAGAUGGGAUACUACGUAGGUAAAGUUAAAGCUAAUCUAUAGGGGAGAACAUGCAGAAUAGGACCCAUAUGGGACUUAUAACUUCACGCUAAUUAGCUAAAGUGACUCUAAAGUGGCCCAAGUAGUGGGUAGUUUUCCAAGGUGAAGAUUGAGGAACACGAGGACUCUGACAAAAUGAGGUCUCAGAAGUACUUAUAGUCUUAUACAUCUCAAGUUUUGUACUUCUUAACGAUGACCUCAGAUCAUAGUUGGAACCCUGAAUCUCACAGGUUGUAAAAUUCUUUAAUAAGCCCAGAGCUUAGUCUAAUCCUGAAGUGAAAUCCAAUCUUACCUCUUCUAAAUACCCUAUUUGACAACAACAACAACAUACCCAGUGUAUUCCCACCAGUGGGGUCUUGGGAAGGUGGUGUGUAUCCUAUUCUGUUGUCUCUAAAAAAAUUCUAUACUAUUUCUGUAUGAAUUUGAACUGAAGUUUUAUGCUAUUCUUACUUUGUCAAGCAAUGUGCAGAUUAUUUUCCGUGCUGUACAAUCUGAAAAUGCAUCUCAACAUCCCGACAUAGUCACCGAGGUCGCGGACUCCCUUAUGACACUUGAAUACUAUGAAUCAGCUUUGAAGUACUAUAUGAUGCUUGUUGGAGAUGACAACAAGAACAAAGUAAAGAAAUAACACUCCCCCUUUUACUGCUUCUGUGUACAUUGCAAUAUUUUAUCCUUUCACUUGGAAGCACGUGUAUAUGUGCCCUUUCUGUACUAUCAAGCAGACCAACCAUGCUCAGUUGAUCUGUUAUUGAGAGGAACCUUGUUGAACUCUCUACUAGUAAAGCAUAUCCAUCUUCUGAAACUCCUUUUAUUAUCUUUUGGUGGUUAAUCCAUUUCAAUCCUUUUCAGGGCUAUUUACACUUGAGAAUUGCCGAGUGUUAUGUAUUUUUGAGGGAAAGAGUACAAGCAAUUGAGUACUUCUAUAAAGGUAUCCACAUAACAUAUGUGAUAUGAUAUGUAUGUAUAUAUAUAUAUAUAUAUAUAUAUAUGAUAGUGUGUGUGUGUAUAUAAAAUUAUCGGUGCAUAGACUUCAUUAAAUACUUAUAGCUCUGGUGUGACAUAACUUACCUCCUCAUCUAUAUACCCUCCUGCAGAAUGGGUUUAUUUUGUGUUAGUGACUUGCUUAAGUCUGUUGAUGCUCCAAUCCUAUUCAAUGUCUUUAUCUAAUUUAUUUUUCUUUUCAGCUGUAAAUGAACUUGAGGAUAGUGUUGAUGCUCGAUUAACUUUAUCAUCCAUCCUCCUUGAAGAUGGCAAAGAUGAUGAAGCAGUUUCUGUGCUUUCCCCUCCCAAAGAAUCAGGUAUAAAUCAUUUGCUUGGGAUACUUUUAGCAUUCUAUUAUGUGGAUCAUUGUAAACUUCUUUUAAGAGCUCUGUGGUUCAUUUCCAGAAUCUUCAGGUGACUCAAGUUCUGGUACACCAAAAUCUUGGUGGCUUAGUAGCAAGAUAAAGCUGAAGCUUUGCCAAAUUUAUAGAGCUAAAGGGUCACUAGAGGCUUGUGUUGAUGUUAUUUUUCCUUUAAUUCGUGAGACAUUGUUUCUUAAGUCUGUCCAACCGAAGGUAAGCUUACUCUUUUCAUUUAUGACCCUGAAGUUUGCUAGUUAGGGAUGUUUCUUUUCAAAAGUGAUAUUUCAAUUAGUGAGUCGGGGGGGGGGGGGAAUUAACAGGAAGGUNNNNNNNNNNNNNNNNNNNNNNNNNNNNNNNNNNNNNNNNNNNNNNNNNNNNNNNNNNNNNNNNNNNNNNNNNNNNNNNNNNNNNNNNNNNNNNNNNNUUGGGGGGGGGGGGGGGGGGGGGAAUUGACAUGAAAGUUUCUUCAUGCAGCUCAAAAAAAUCUACUUAUAAUAAAAAUAAAUAAAUCUAGAGUUUCAUAGCAAUCAUUCAUUGUCACUAUACUUACUAACUUACAUCCCUGGGCGACUUGCUUGGGAUGCUGCAAUCACAACUUUCUGGCUGGCAUUUGUCUGGUAUACUGCUAGAAUGUAAGCCAUUAAAUGUCUAGGGGAAGAGCAGAAAAGUAGCUGAUCACAUGCUUUGUCUAGAACAAUGUAGCCCAGUGUUACUAAAGGCGAAAGCUGAAAAGCGCAAAGUGCUAAUAAAGCUUGGCUUUGAUGAAAGGCGCAAAGGGAGAAAAACCCAACAAAGGUUGGGGUCGAUCCCACGAGGAGUAAGAGUGUGUCAAGGUGUCCAAGAGUGUGAAUUUCCUAAGUUAUUCUUCAAACAAAAUAGUGAGUGAACAGUUAACUCUAAAACUAGACUAUUUUACUCCUAGCAUUUGGGGAUCUCAGAUGUGUCGAUAUCAAUGGUGGCUUAUUAUUUUGAUGAAUCAUUUCUUCGGACAGAAGAACUUAAAUAAAAAUACUUAAUAGCAUUGCAAAUACAUUUAUACAAAACUUCUAGUCUUCUACCCGAGCACACACAACAUAACUGUAGAUAGCGAAAAAAGAAUGAACGGGUCUUGUAGGAUUCCCAAGAAAUUCUUCAAUUUCUUCCGGAAACAGAUAGAUAUUCUCCAGAUAGAUAUUCUCCAGCUAAAAGCCAGACUGUGGAUCUUAUGGAAGGUUUACAAAAACAUGUACCAAUUACCAAAAUCACAUUUUUAUAAGCUGCGAAUGUUAUUUUUUUUUUUUUUUGUAUUAACCGAGAAAUCCGUACUGUUGACCCUACCCUUUGGACCAAUCACAGCCUUCUAAACUCGGUGGAUAAUGGGCCCGCCCCUCUACCCUUCUCCACUUAAAUACCGUGCUUCGCUUUGCAUGGUGUGGGGCUUGAACCUGCAACCUAAGCCACAAAUCCUCCACCUUUUGCCACUUGAGCUAGGCCUUGGGGGCAGCUGCGAAUGUUAUUUUUUUUUUAUGACAAGGGAAACCCGCAGCCGCUACCCUUUGGGUGCGCACAAGGUAAAACCCCCGCUCCUAUGCAAUAGCUCGCAAACCACAUAGGAGAGGUAACCCGCACUAGGCAAGCCUGGUGCGACGAGCUCAACCCAGAAGGCAAACCCCUUGCUUUCGCUGGCAAGGGGUUUCGAACUUGAGACCUCCAACAUGGAAGUCCCAAGCUCAAACCACUGGGCCACCCCGAAGGGUAGCUGCGAAUGUUAUUGAACACUUGGAAUGCAAGAAAGUAUGAUUUGUUUUUGAUUUUAAAAAGGAUCGGGGUUGUAGCCUCAAUAAGGUAUAGCUAGUUCAUGAACACAACUAUCUUGCUGAAAUACGUAGGAUUAAUGAAAAUAAUUCAAUUGAUAAUUACUUACUGGAGUUUUCCAACUCUAGCAAGGGAAUCCCCAAUAGUUCUUUCAAACCCAAGGGAAAAAUAUUAAGACCCAAUUGAUAGACCCAAGUAGGAAUCUCCCUAUUCCUAUUUUGAUUCCAUUAAUCAAGCAUACAUUUUUUGGAGAAUGGUAUAUCUUGCUACUUGUUCAAUACCAAUCCAAUUUCCACUCUUCCAAGCAAGAAAUGGAUGUGAAGGGCUUAAUCUAGUGUUUGCAAUCACAAUAAGAAUAGAAACUCCAGCUAUAAGGUGAGUGGACGGUUAACUCCAAAUCCUCCCCAUUCCUUUGGAUGAUGUGACAACUCUCAAAUUCACUAAAUGUUGCUUGUUUAUUUCUUCCUUUGUAUCCCAUAAAAAGUUUUGUUGAAGUCUUUGCAACUUGUGUCACUUUACAAGGUCAAGGAGUGCAAAAGUGACAUGAAUUGUUGGAAGUAAGGCAUUUCUCCUUGAAGUAAAUUGAUGCAUGCAAGGUCAAAGUUAUCUUGGACAAGGGUAUCCUAGUUGCAUAAUUACAUUGCUUUGUAAAGAUGUCCAUAAUUAGUACCCAAAUAGAAUCAAACACAAGCUAUAACCAUACUAGAAAAUUAUGUGUGUUUACUUUUAAGUCUAGUUAUUUAAUCAUCUAGAAUAAUUGUCCAGUUGUUAGCAUCAUUUCACCUCUCAGAGAUUACCUUGUAUCUAACUUGUUCUUAGUAUUGUUAAAUGUGUGCGUAACUCCUGAAACUCAGUGAAGUCCAUGUUGUGCGCUUUGUCGCACUUAGUUAGCGCUUUAGUGUAGGCGUCAAGAAGCUAAGGCAUGUGCACCUUCGCCAAUGGGUUUUGUCAUUAAGGGCAUAUGUAUAGCUUAUCAUAGUUCUCCUAUUCUCUCCAAGAGUUCCAAGUAAUUAUUGUUUGUGUUUAUAGUUACAUUUUUUUACAGUAGAUUUCUAUUUUCUAUUUCAUUGGCGAUUUCUUCACUAAAGCCGGCGCUUUAAUUGCACUUUGUGAUUAAAGCUCAAACAAACUUUUUUAGGCUCUUUUUGCACUUUUAACUUUUGAGUUUUGACUACUCUGCUUGUUCUUUCUUUUAAUUGGUGGAUAUAUUUUUAGGUCAAAGUGCGGAGAAGGCUAUCUAAAAGUGUUCUAAAUCAAAGAAUCAAGGUAGUGGACGAUCACCAAACAGAUACCAUCUUUCAUGGCUUUAAGCCUGUAGCUUUGGCAUCUGAUCUGUGAGUUUGACUUUUACCAUGUUGUGCUUUUUCUUUCAACUCCUUAGCUGAGGAUUCUAUGGGCAAAAGUAGCCAACCAAGCAGUUUCAGGGGUUGAGGCGUUGAGCUUAUAUAGCCAAGUCUUGUCCAUGAAAUGUUUUGGAAAAAAAUAAGAUCUGUUGUGGACAAAUUGUUUCAUUUACAUUUAUAUCAUUUCUUAAAUAUCAAUUUGGGUGCUUUUCUUUUUGUUGUUGAUAUUUUUACUAAAACUUGACGUUAAAUUUUGUAAGGAAAGACAUAUCCUUAAAAAUGAUUGGCAUACAUAGAGGUCAUACUGUCCAUUUCUUUUCAAGCUGCGAAAGCACUUGAGAUUAAUAUAUAUUUUUUUAUAAGGUAACAACUUGUAUAUAUAUCAAAAGUCAACACCAGGGGUGUUUCUGGAAGGUAAUUACAACCUCCAUAAAAAGGAGUCAAUGGAGGGCUAAAACAGAGAACUAAUUUUUUUUUUGAUGACUGUGGUGUCCAGGCCAGCUUUCUCGCACAUCGACUAACAUUUUACCAGAAAAAAACAGAGAAUUAACAGCUAUCUUUAUUACACUUUGCCUAUCAGUUCUAUGAGAUCUCAUGUAUCCUCAAAAAGAUUAUUUUUACACCAAAAGAAGAAGAGACUAAGACAGUUCAUCCUAAAUAAGUUGAUGGAUUUGCUAAAAAUUUCAAAGAGUCUUGAAUUUCUUUCCUUCCAAGCCAACACACCAGAUGCAGGCUGGAAUGAUUUGCCACCAGUGCUGAGAAUAGUUGAAUUUGUGGUGAAAUGCCUGUUGUAUGUUCAAACAGUGGUGCCUCUUAGCUAGUGUUUGACCAUAAAUUCCCAAAUAUUUUUAGGAAACCAGAUUUGGGUGAAGUUAGGAUUGAAAUUUCAACACGUAUUUGGCCAUAGUUUUUGGGAAACAUAAUCCACUUUAAAAAAAAAACACGAAACAUGGUUUAUACCCAUAAGUUCGACACAAAAUUAUCAUUUUUAUAAUGAACUUGGUAAUACAUUACCCAAAAAUCAUAACACAAUAUUUUAAUAAAAAUUGCUCAUAACACAAUUACCGGCUAUUACAUUUAGUUAUGUAGAUCCAUUGAUGUUUCUUCUCGAUUUCCUCCUUUCUACGAAAUAGCAAAAAUAGAAGAUAUACUAAUUUAUUUAGUGCUAUACUUAAUAGAAUGUGGUGGAAAUGGAUAGUUGGCCGUUGCGAAUACGUUUAAUGAGGGGUUGGGUAGAUAUAAUUAUAGUUGGAGUCAUAAUUGAUGUUUACUUUAGUAUAAAAUAUAGAAGUUUGGGGUAAGCUUUAAAAUUUUAAAAGAUGCAAGUAUAUUUUGGCCCAAAGUUUGCAUUUCUUUUGUUGUUGCAUAUUUCGGGAUUAUGCCAAACAAUUUCUGCAAAUCCCCCGCCCCCCAAAAAAAUAAAUAAAUGGUCCUUAGUGAUAUCCCUAUCUCGGUUCCACAGGUAAAGCAUUUAAAAAGAGGAAUAGAAGUGCUUAUCAGCAAAUAGAAAAAGAAAAAAAAAACUGGAGGAGAUCUGGAUUAACUUACUACUUGAUCAAAAAGAUCUGUAUUAACUUACAAUAGUUUGUGGCAAGGACAAAUCAUCGAAGAGCUGUUGAGCCUAUGAUGGUGGCACCUCACAAGCAACUGGCCUUAAGAAAGUGAUGGAUAAAAUUUUUCCAAUUGAGCUCCUGACAUGUUGGUCAAAGAAAAAUCCAAUGUCUUCAACCUUUUCCAUGCUUAGGAAAAUAGUGUUUCUUGUCAAGAGAGAUACCAUUACUUCUCCUUUUCUAGUGCUUGUUGUUGAACUAUCUCCUGUUUCUGAAUUAUUGUUAACAGAGAGUCAUGCUCCAUUUUAUAUCAUGCCAAAUGUUUCUGUGGCUGUUAUCCCCAAGUCACAAGCUAGAAUUCUUUUACUUGAGAUGACAGCCUUAGCAGGCUACUAAUUAAACUAGAAAAUUAAGUGAGAUAUUGAGUACUUUUAGCUAGUCUUUCAAAUAGUGGGUUGAAAAUCAAUUUGUAGACACUCUGUUAGCCGUUUCAACCCAAAACUUAGACGGGCCAAUUUUGAAUUCAACCUAUUGUCACCUAUAUUUAAGUAUUGGGACACUUCCACAGACCUCCCUCCAGGUUUGGUUUCGUAAUAUUAACCUCACUUGUGCUUUGUGAUAUGAUGUCUGCCUCCAUUAUACUGUUUUUUUUUGUAACAGUUGUUUGAAUCUAUUUAUUUUUAAUGCAAAAAUAAUUAUAAUUUGACCAGUUUGUCCUUUCUAAUUUAUCAUCAAAUUUUAGUUUUAAGAAAAAUGCUUUUUGAGAAGUAAGAAUAUCAAUGAAAAGUGAGAAGCAGAAACUUGCCACAUUAUUAUCUGAAGCACCCACUAUGCUACAAGUAUAAAAUCAUAAUUAGGCAAAAACUUGACAAUCCCACCUAGCUGAAGCAUCCCACAGUUACACAACCCAUUAUAACUGCUUGACGUAAUUAAUGUCCCACCCCAACUAAAUUUCAUAUUGUCCAAGAUCAAAAAGCGUUACAUUAGUCUCUUCCCACUUUUCACAUCCUAAAUGUUUUCAUCAAUAUUGUGGUAAGUUUCCUCUUCUCUACGAAAUUAAGUAACUUUGAAACUCAAAAGUGAUGAUAAAUUCGAAAGGGAAAAUUCAUCGUACGCACUUAAGGGUGUCACCUAGUGGUCAAUGAAUUGGUUGAGGACUAUGAAGUCUCAAGUUCAUAUCCCAGCAGAGGCAAAACACUAGGUGAUUUCUUCCCAUUUGUUUUAGUUACACAGUUAUUUGGUACCUGUUGUUGUUGGUGGGAGGUGGCAAGUAUCCUGUGGAAUUAAGUUGGUGCAAGCUGGCUCUGGCCCACAAUUAUCAAAAAACUGAAUUCAUCAUAUGUUAGUUAUUGGCAUUAAUGAUUAGUUUUAUGAAGACAAACUUGGAGAAAGGUCAGUAAAUUUAUCCCUUAAUUAUUUUACAUACACAACAUGUCAGUAAAUUUGGGACUGAUUGGGUAGGUUGCAUCACUUGCACUAAUUUUGAUACCUUUAGUUGAUAGAGAGUGAAAUUAUAUUAAAGGUUCAAUUACAAGAAGAGGACAUUGACGAGGAGCUCUCUGAAUUAACAGAAGUUAUUGGGAUCUUUUGUUAUUCACUUACCUGCGAUUCAACCUGUUGUUAUGAAGGAGGGAUAUAUAAUAGAUAGAUCUCAACAGUGGAAGGUAAAUAAUGAAUCUUAUGGCUUUUUGAUAGGUCAAAAGCUGCAAGAGCAAAAAAAUUGCUUCGGAAGAAAGAAAUGUUAAAGGAAGCAAAAAAAGCUGCAGCUUUGGCUGCUGGAGCUGACUGGAAAAGUGAUGAUUCGGACAGUGAGUUUCCUGUGAGAAGCCCAUAGCCAAUGUCUUCUGUUAUAGUACAUGUUACAUACUUUUUAUACCCUUGAUUUUAACCUAAUACUUCCUUCUCUUUCUUGUAUGCUAUCCUAAUUCUUAAGGAGGAGCACGUAUACCGAGAGCCUCCACUACCAGAUCUUCUAAAAGACGAGGAACACCUGUGCCUUAUUGUAGAUGUUAGUAUUUCUUGCUUCCCAUCUCAUCUCUUUCUUUAAUUUUUUUCUUGCUUGUUUUGAUUGUUAUCUUUUUCUUUCUUUUCCUUGAUGAUCAUGUCAGUUUCAUAUGAGCUCUUGUUCCAUUUUCACACAUUAAUGCACUUGUUGUGUUUAUUCGUUUUUAGACGACACAUGCUUACAGUUUUUAUACCAGUACAGAUAGUUAUUAAGUCUAAGCAGAGGUAUGAGAUGUCUUCUUUGACAUGUGUAGUUGAAUAUGACAACAUACACAGGAAAUUUCAAUGCUAAAUAGAUCUCCAAUUCUCUUCUGAUUCUUUGCUUGCUCUUUUUACUAGUACUUGUAGUUCUGUCAGACAGAAUGCAAUUUUUCACUUUAAAGUCCUUUUUUGUAGCUCUGCAAGGCUUUAAUAUCCUUGCAAAGGUAUUGGGAUGCACUUGAGAUCAUUAAUCUGUGUCUAAAAUUGGCAUCCAGCACAUUGUCUGUUGAGAAAAAAGAGGAGCUGCAAGCUCUAGGAGCUCGUAAGUUUCAACUUGUAGUGUUAGCACUCUCUCCCUUUACUUUUGUUUGUAUAAACUACUUUGAGACAUCUGUUGGUAGGUUGAGAUAUACUAGGUUUGAUUAAUGUUGUAAAGUGAAAGGCAGAGAUGCAUGCUUGCUGAAACGUUCUUUUUCUAUCUUGUAGAAGUAGGAUAUAACAUUGCUGAUCCCAUCCAUGGGUUCGAUUGUGCACGUUCCAUUGUCGGUCAGCAUCCUUACAGCUUUGCAGCAUGGAAUUGCUACUACAAAGUAAUAUCAAGGUAUCAGCAAAUUUGUAUCAGUAUUCUGAACGCUCUUCUGUUUUUGUGGUUGGUACUAGUGGAAUCGGUUUCUGUUUCCCUUGUUAAGCAGGUACUUGGCAGAAUUAACUGAAUAAUAUAGGUAAUUAACUGUUUGUAAAUGUUUGUUUGCACUCGCUGAUUCUGCCGAGCUCCCGUGAGUUGAGAUAGGGAGAAUGUGGCUAAUAAGUUUCUUGUGCCUACACUAUGUUGGAAAUAUUUCAUACUGUGCAUUUAAUAAAUUUUAUUACAUGCACUACUAAAGUAACAAGGAUUGUUUUUGUGGUUGGGCAUUUUUGGGGACUAAGUAACAGUCAGCAAGCACUGGCAUGGAUUGGUUCUUAGGGUUUAUAUAUCCUAAAUGUACUACAGAAAGUUCUUGGAGGGACAUGGCUGUCAUUGGUCGUGUUGGAACCCACCACCCAUCCAGUAGUAUUUUGAGUAUAACAUUAAGGUUUUUUUUAAGAUCGGUAAAUGAUAAAGAGUACCACAUUAAGGUUAUGAAUAGCUAUUUGAUUCAUGCUCCUUGUUUGACUUCUUUCCUUCAAUAGAAUAGUGUUAUUUUGUAUUAUUUGAAUUCAUUUUGGCGUCUUUAACUUCCUAGCUUUUCAGGUUUUCCAAUUAUUAUAUCCUAUACUCUAAUAAAUUAAAGUAUAAUGAUGUAUUCACAUCCUACAACAACAAUAUGCUCAGUGUAAUCCCACAAGUGGGGUCUGGGGAUGGUAAUACGUAGACCACACCCGCUUGUAUUAAUCUUUGUGAUAAUUGUAUUUUUUCCACCACCUCAUCGUCCGUGUUUUGAUCCAGCAGCCUGCUUUUCCAGUAGCAUUUUGAGAAUCAUAAUUUGAUUUAUGCUCCUCAAUUUUGUUUGACCUGAUUUCUAUUUGAAACUGUAUAUUGUCUGUCCUUCAACAGCAAUUUUACAAUCAUCAGGAAGUUAAUUGACAUAAAUAAUACAUAUUUUAUAUUAUUUUGAAUUCACUUUGACAUCUUUAGAUCUCCAAGCAUUUCGCGUAUCAUUAUUUCCUAUACUCUUAACAAAUUAAAACAUAAAAUUGUAUUCGGACAUUCUAGUAUAAAACUUUGUGCUUGCUAAAGUAGGUGGUUCAGUUUGGGAAGGAGGGACUAUCUUAUUUUUUUGAGAUAAAGGUAACUGAAGGAGGGACUAUCUUAUGCAUUUAAUGCAAAUACAGUUCUCAGAUUUGAACUUUAACACAAUUAAUUGAUACUUUUUAGUAACUUCAGUUGUUUUUUCGUCAGCCUAGUAAUCUACUAGUCUUUCAAUUGUUUUCCUGUCCACUGUAGUUUUGAAACUUAAACAUCUUUGCCAUCUUGUCUUACAAAUUCAUGACUGCAUGAUCUUAUCUCUGAUUUAUUAUUGUAACUUGUUUGUUUGAUUAUGGAUGAUCAUGUACAGACUAGAUAAUCGACAUUCGAAACAUAGCAAGUUCUUGAGCCAUAUGCGUGCCAAACACAAAGAUUGCAUACCACCAAUUAUUAUUGCUGGUCAUCAGUUUACCACGAUCAGCCAUCAUCAAGAUGCGGCUAGAGAGUAUUUAGAAGCUUAUAAGCUGAUGCCAGAUAAUCAGUUGAUAAAUCUCUGUGUCGGUAUGGGUUUCUUCUAACAAUCAAAUAAAAGAAGGCAGACUUGACAUUGUUUUAAUCUUUCAUGGUAUCAGUUUCAAGGUUUGACCUUUGCCUUUUUUUUUCCAGGAAGUGCUAUAGUAAAUGUAGCUCUUGGAUUCAGACUUCUGAACAAGCAUCAGUGUGUACUACAGGGAAUGGCUUUCCUGCAUAAUAAUUUGAGGCUUUCAGGAAACAGUCAGGUUCUACUUUGAACUUGCCUAGCCUUCUUUGAAGUCUGAAAUACGACUUUUUUGUGACGACCUAAAGUUUAAUAUUUUUCUUUUCCAUUACAUCAACGUAGUUAGAAGUGUUGGGGGCAUCUAAAGGAACCCCUUGAAUCUCUUUUGCAGGAAGCACUCUUUAAUUUUGGUCGAGCUUGUCAUCAUGUUGGUCUUGUUUCUGAAGCUGCCAUAUAUUAUCAAAGAGUACUUGACACUCACGAAGACGAUUAUCCCAUCCCAAAGCUUCCUAAUGAGAACCUAGAUCCCGUGGAAAAUAGAAAACCAGGUUACUGUGAUCUACGCAGAGAAGCAGCAUAUAAUCUGCACUUGAUUUACAAAAAUAGUGGAGCACAUGAUCUGGCAAGACAGAUACUGAAAGAUUACUGUACUGUAUGACAAUGACAAUAUGCGCUAUAAGGACAAGAUAGAUGUAUGCAGAUUUUAUCCCUACCUUUGUGGAGGAGAGAGAUUGUUUCCGAAACAAGUGUAAUACAAACUUUGUUAUAAUAAUUCGCUCUUGUCUGAUUGGAUAUGGAUCAACAACUCAAACCAAACAAACAACUGACCAAAUAGCAUGAGCCAAAAAAGUGAGUAUAAACGCUUGCAACGUGAGUUGAACAAUAAACCAAGUAUUGAAACCAUGACUAUCCCACAUUCUCAACCAAACAUCUUCAUUGAGAGUAAACUCAAACGUUAAUAUUACAAAAAUUCAGUAUAUACAUUGCAUAAUUUUUUAUUCUUGGACCAACCGAAAAAAGGAUUACAAAUAAAAUGGAGAGAUUAUCUAGGACUUUCUUUGUAUAGAACUCACAUAGUAUUUGUUAUAAUAUGGUUACUGACGGAAAUGAAAGGAACUCAUGUUAUUAUUAAUUAAUUAAAUAUAUACAUGAGCCGUCAAGAGCAUGAAAAUAGUAACAAGAGAUAUAUGGGAGUUUCCCAGAGCAAUGGGUUUUAUGCUAACGAUCAAUAUUGAGUCUAUCAAAUAGAAUUUUCAAUUACACACCUAAAAUAUCACGGAUUAAUGUCAUUCGAGUCGCUGAAGUCUUUAGCAACAUUUAUAUAGAACUAAAUAAUAUUGGUUAUAAAUAUUAGUAUUAUAUUAUUACCGCUAAAUAUAAUAAGAAAAUAAUUAUGUUAUUGCUCGCAAAUUAUUUUAUUUAUAUAUAGUGUAUGCAUGUAUAUGGUUAUAGAAAUCCAAAUAAAUUUCUCAAAUAAGUACUUUAAAUAUGUAAUGACCAAUGGAUCCUUAAAAUAUACUAGUGGAAUGUUGGUUGAGAAAAAAGAAAAGAAAAGGAAUUACACGAGUGUAAAUAAUAAUUAAAAGAAACAAACAAAUGACAUGGUGUAAUCAACAUCAACUGCGGUAGUUCACAGAGUAAGUGGAUGGUAACUGUUAUCCAUGGAGAGUGAAUAUGAGAAUUUAUAGAAAUAAAUCAUGACGCGGUCAAAACUAAUUUUUUGUCCAUUAAUUAACCUUUAUACACUUUUUUUUUGGGUCGAAACUCGAAACUAGUAAUUUUUUCUUAUUCCUACAAAAAGCUCUCACCUUUAUCUUCUUCCUUUUUUUCAGUUAUACUAACAAAAAAAAACAAAACAAAAACAUACCACCCUGUACUCAUCAUAAUAAUAUACUAAUCUUCUUCACAGAUCCCAAUUCCAAAUCCUUUAAUUUAUGGUAUUUGAUUUGAUUAUAUUGUUCGGAUUAACUACGAAGAAGAAGAAGAAGGAGUAUUGAGGAUGUCUGGGUUAUGGAGAUGGAGAAAUGUAAAAUAUACUGCAUUUAGGAAUAUGAUUUUUCGAAACCAGCAACAACAGCAGCAGCAUCGGAAUUUGCAGCAUCGAAAUUUGCAGUAUCGGAAUUUGGUGAAUUGGUUACAUGUGAAGCGGAGAGAGACUAUAAUUGGGGUGCAAGAAAGGUAUAAAUGGGACCGUGGUGGUGGUGGUGGUUCUUCCGAUGAGUAUAGAACUGCUCCGAGAAGGAUUAGGGCGGAAGCUUAUUGUCCUCGUUGUUCUAAGCAUAUGGAUCUUCUUUUCUCUAAUCGAAAUCAUCAACUCAUUCCUCCUCCUCCUUCUAAUGAUGAUGAUGAUAACAGUAAUAGUAGUAAUAGUAAUAAUAAUAGUACUGAUUCGAAAGGUGAAGCAGGUUCAGGUCCUUAUCAGGCUGUGAAUCUUUGCCCUAAUUGUAAAACGGCUUAUUAUUUUAGACCGUAUAAGAUGGCGCCACUUCAAGGUAGUUUUUUUGAGAUUGGAAGGAUGAAAGGGAAUGGGAAUGGUAAGAGAGUGAAUAAUGAUGAAGAUAAUGGGAAGAGACAGAAGCCGUCUUUUUGGGAGUCGUUGAAAUCGUAUGGUGGUGAGCCUCCUGAAAAUUGGACACCACCUGGUAAUGGGCUGGCUGUGCAUACACCUCCAGGUCCACCAUUUGCUCCUGGACUUAAUCUGAUACGGGCUAAUGGAACUGAAGGGAAAAAUGGGGGUGGUAAAGAUGAGGGUAGUGAUGAGAAGAGUGGGUGGGGUGGGUCUAAUUUGGGGAAGAAUCUGCCAACACCAAAAGAGAUCUGUAAGGGACUUGAUACGUUUGUUAUAGGUCAAGAGCGUGCCAAGA
Molecule: long non-coding RNA, 39900 nt
Filed under: Solanum tuberosum (potato)
Lineage: Eukaryota; Viridiplantae; Streptophyta; Magnoliopsida; Solanales; Solanaceae
Description: long non-coding RNA (STUB_LNC006708)
Source: RNAcentral